AUGCGUGCAGGCAUAGAGGAGGUAUUUCCGUUGGCAGUGCACAGGCACUGCAGGUGGCACAUUAUAAAGAAGGCUGAAGAGACGCUAGGACCGUUCUUUGCUGACCGUCCAGAGCUCCACAAGGCGUUUGAGCUGUGCAUGGACCACAGCUUGACGGUGGAGGAGUUUGAAAGGAGCUGGAUGGCCAUGAUUGAAACAUAUCAAGUCCAAGACAACGAGACGCUUGCUAACCAGUGGGAGAAGCGAAUGUACUGGGUGCCAGCCUACUUCAUGCAGUGCUUCUUUCCCUUUCUGCAGACUACGCAGCGCAGCGAGGGGUUCAAUGCUAUUUUGAAGCGGUACGUGAGUCCUGGCAACUCAUUGCUACAGUUUGCCAAGCAGUACACAACUUUGCAACAAAAAAUUCUGGGAUCUAAGCUACAGCAAGAAGCUACCACUGCGCUAAAGCAGCCGAAAUUGCUAACGUAUUUACCGAUGGAGAGGCAAAUGAGCAAGAUAUACACAAACAAGAUCUUUAACAAGUAA
RNAcentral lists this ribosomal RNA (525 nucleotides) under Triticum aestivum (bread wheat). RNAcentral describes it as "partial small subunit ribosomal RNA". Lineage: Eukaryota; Viridiplantae; Streptophyta; Magnoliopsida; Poales; Poaceae. The record is from RNAcentral.